ACAAUUUCUGUUUCUGCUCCUUGUUUUAGUAUGUGGAAUGUGUUUGGAGAAUUGUUUAACAAUUUCUUACCCAAAUUGUUGUGGGGUGGCUGCUGGGUUGGUUCUGGUGAGGAUCCUUUGAGCCUGGGGGCCAAUCCAACCCACCUGGGGCUGGAAUCUCAGAGAGGGUCACGAGUUGUGAGGAGUCAGAUUUGGGAGUUAGGAAAAGCAGGUUUGUAGUUUUAGUGUCUCCUUUAAACAGUAUAUUAAUAGAAAAAAGCAGGUUUUUUUAGUGUCUCCUUUAAACAGUAUAUUAACAGAAAAAGCAGGUUUGCAGUUUUAGUGUCUCCUUUAAACAGUAUAUUAAUGUAUAUUAGUAUAGUUCGAAUAAAGAAACCAUUCAUCCUUCUGAGCUGGAGUCAGGCAUCGUCAUUUCUUCCCCCUGGCUCGCCUGCAUUUACAAUAAGCCGUAAAUUCUUUUUCUCUGGAAGAUUUCCGUGUCCUGCGACUGCCGUCCCGGUGCAAGUACCUCAUUACUUUCUUCCCACCCACAGUUUCUAUUUUAACCACAAAAGCUCAGUUUUAACCACAAAUCUACAUUUACCAUACCAAUAAAAUGUUAAUACAGCACUACUAAUCAAUGUAACAUAAUACAAACCCUAUUCCAUUUAAUACUUGCAAAAAGCCAACCAUAAAAUCUGCAUUUUUCCAUGAGGACAUCCCGAGGCUGCUGCAGGGACAGCAAUGUCACCGCUGUCAUGUCAUCGGGGACGGUGACAUCAUCAGGGACGUUGCUGCUGUCACUUCUCCCCUCUCCCCUCCCCACGCGGGAUUUGAGACGAAUUUGGGGAAUUUUCUGGGAAUUUUCAUUGCAAUUGUCCCAAAUGCUGAUGGGAAUUCUGGGGUGACGUCACUGGGGACACUUGGGGACAUUCUGAGGACGCUCUGGGGACACUGAUGGGGGUGGCGGUGGGGCAGGGGCUGAAUGAGCCUCCUCGGUGCCUUGCAGCAGAGCCGGGUUAUAAAUGACAAUAGAAUAAUCGGCUUUUGAAAUUCUGAAUUGCCUUCUGCACCUUGUUAUUGAUCACAAGGAUUUUGCUGUGGUACUUGAUAUUGAUAUUGAUUACUGAUAAUUCCUUGCAGCUGCUUGCUGGUACAAUAAAAUCGAUCUGUUUAUGUGUGCACAGUAUAACAAAUUUACUGCUAGAGUAAUAAAUAGAUAUUAUAUCAUAGGCCUUAAUAUAUUAAAAACAGAUAAAUAAAAAACAGAUCAGUAAUAAAUACUGAAAUAGAGACUAUGCAAUGUUAAAAUGCUUUUGUGUGACUGACUCAGGUGUAAAACAAUUCCGUUGUUUCUCACAUCUGCGGACCAGCCUCACCAGCUGAUACCAGUGACACAAAGCUCAGAAGAAUUUAUGAAUUUAUCAGGGGGUCUGAAACAACAGGGUGGAACCAGGAGAAGAAAUCAAAUAUAUCGACUUAAUCUACAGAAUGUCCUGCAGACAAGUCAGAGGUGAGACCCAAACACGAGUUCCUGGGACAUCCAAACCUCCCGGCAGUGUUUGAAUAAUGUCGAAACUCAGGAGUGUGUUCGUGGCCCUGCAGUGGAACCGGAUCCGGAGAACGAAGGGUUAAGUUGAGGGCGAGUUCUUUGGUCGAGCCCAAAACCCUUUUUUAUCCCUGAUUAAACUUUGUUUAGUAAUCCCUUAGUGAACUUUGUUUUUCACACCCGGCUGGGAUUUGGGGGGGCCGGGGGGUCCCUGGACAGCCCCCGCUGCUGAGCACUGACCCCCCC
This 1774-nucleotide long non-coding RNA is filed under the name Taeniopygia guttata (zebra finch). RNAcentral's name for it is "lncRNA (ENSTGUG00000019164.1)". The record is from RNAcentral. Lineage: Eukaryota; Metazoa; Chordata; Aves; Passeriformes; Estrildidae.